Molecule: long non-coding RNA, 2222 nt
Organism: Mus musculus (house mouse)
Lineage: Eukaryota; Metazoa; Chordata; Mammalia; Rodentia; Muridae
Gene: Hotair
Product: HOX transcript antisense RNA (non-protein coding)
Exons: 2
Source: RefSeq, marked reviewed
AAAACUGUAAUACUCAGACAGACAAUUAAGCUGUAAAUGAAGUUUUCUUUAUGAUGCUUAAUUUUCUCUCCAAUUCUUAAAGUCCUUCUCCACUUUGCUGCUGUGGAAUGGAAGGGUUUUACAAGUCUGCAGGGGAGUCAGGGAGUAAAGAAAUCGUGCCCAGAUUUAGAGACAAUGGUGAAAGAUACAGAAGACAGAAGAGAUGGGGGCCGCCCCAGCUGGCAGGGAGUGGAGCCAGAGGCAGAAAAGGAGAGAAAAGUUUCCUGCCAUCUUCAUUAGUUGACUUCCCAGUCCACAGCCACAGCUUCCCGGGGCUGCAGAAUUCACUCUCAAUAAAGAAAGGAGGCUUAAAAAAAAAAAAAAAAGUCCUGUGUUUACAAGACCAGAAAUGCCAGCGCUAAGUCCUUCCAGAGAGAAAGGCUGAAAUGGAGGACCGACGCCUUCCUUAUAAGCUCAUCGGAGCACGAUAGAAAAGCAACUGUAAAGGCAGAGAGAGUAAGAGCGGAAGGAAGGAAGUCAGCGCCAACGUAGACCAAAAGGAACCACCCAGAAAUGUAGAAAAAGGAACCGGCAGAGGUCCCCAACAUCGGUAGAAGGACAGAAGACACGCACGGAGAAAGGUUUAUGUUUUGUUUUGUUGUUUUUUAAAUUUCAACUUGGAGCUCAAUGAAGAAAAGGCAAAAUAUAGGCCAGUGGACCAGAGGACCGGAAGAGGACCAGUCAUAGCUCACAGUGUGCCGGGUCCAGAUGGAAGGAACUCCAGACAAACCCCAGUGGCAGGAUAGGCACAGUCCUGAAGGCUGGGGGCUCGCCCCUUGAAACCCUCUUCGCAGGCUGCCUGAGUUCUUUUGCUCUCCUUAUCAUCCCCAUCUUUAUGACGAGGCUUGUUAACAUGACCAGCGAUCUGACCACGCACAUCUAUCUCCACCGCACACGCACUCAGCCGAGCAGCUGAGCUGGGGGGACUGAGAGGCACUAAUUAAUUGAUUCCUUGGACUGUAAAAUAUGGCUGUGUCUACACACACGGAACCUGUGGACUCAUAAACAAUAUGUCUGCAGAUGUGAGUGCACUGUCUCUUAAAGAAUUUUUCUAUAGUUAUGUGCCUAUUAGAAUCCAGGAUUUGAAAGACUCAAAUAAGAUUGCUUUUUCAUAAGCCUCAACACAGUACAAUGUCAGAAAAUUCUGCAAAAACUUGGGUUAUGGAAUAGGUUUUCUCUGCUGUUACUGUAGACACACAAAUUGGCUUCUGACUGCUAAGUGUUAGGAUCAAAAUCAAAGCCCAGCUGAGAAGGCCUGAAUGAAGCCUUUGCCCUUCCUGGGAGAAGGGGAAUGGGCCCAGGUUCAGGCCUUACUUCAUAAUGCUGCUUAGGCUCAAGAUUAUAAUAUUAAUAUAUAUAUAUAUUUACAAACCCUAACCUAAAGGAGCCUAACCCUAACCCUUACCUAGCUCUCCAGAUCACUGUCCACCCCUUAACUAUCUGCCUGCAUAGAGCAUUGCUAUAACAUGCUUGCAUUAGUCUUGGAAGAAUGUGUCUUGAGAUGCAUAAGUAAAUAGCUCUAACAAUUCUAUAUAAUCAUGAUUCCAUAGUGAAUCUUGAUGCAAAUAGGCGUUAAUAUGUUCUCAACAGAUACCAGCUUCAGACAAGAGACACAACAGGAAACUAAAAGUGACCAUUUAUACAACAAUGUUUGCUGACAUACAUGGCUAUUUCAAAGACAAAAAUACUAGGCAGAAAUAGAAAAACACAAAUAGAAACACAAAUAGAAAAAACCAAUUAACCAGUGGAGUUUGUCAUUACCAAUGUCAUCAUUGCUUCCUGAUUUUGGGUGACUCUUUUAAACCCGGCUGUGUUCCCUUCAUUCAGCACGGCAGAGAUGGUCUACCUUCCCAUACCUUCAGCUCUGGCUCCAAUAUUUAUUUUUAAAAAAAUCUUCAGAGAAAUGUAUACCACAAAUAAUAUGUGCAUCUAAAGAAUAUGCCAAUAUAAUUUACAUAUUUUUUCAUAUACUAGGCUGAUAUGCACUUUGUAUGUGUGUAAGAAUGUGAUAUAAUUCUGAGUUUUUACUGCUGUAGUAAUAUUUGGGUGCAUUUCAUGCAAUAGUUCCAUAUGCUACAGAAUGUAGAUACACGUGACUAAAUGAACUCAGAAAAGCACACCCUUUAUGUAGGAUAUAUGAAAGCCUUGCUUACAAAUGCAAAUAAAUUCUUGUUUGUGAAUCU